This 237-nucleotide ribosomal RNA is filed under the name uncultured bacterium. RNAcentral's name for it is "partial 16S ribosomal RNA". It matches the Rfam family "Bacterial small subunit ribosomal RNA", at positions 118 to 346 of the family's 1533-position model. The record is from RNAcentral.
UGGGUGACCUGCCCUCAGCUCUGGGAUAAGCCUGGGAAACUGGGUCUAAUACUGGAUAUUCACUUCUCAUCGCAUGGUGGGUGGUGGUAAAGUUUUUUCGGCUGGGGAUGGGCCCGCGGCCUAUCAGCUUGUUGGUGAGGUAAUAGCUUACCAAGGCGAUGGACGGGUAGCCGGCCUGAGGAGGGUCGACCGGCCACACGUGGGACUGAGACCACCGGCCCAGACCUCCGUACGGGA